CCUACGGGAGGCAGCAGUGGGGAAUUUUGGACAAUGGGCGAAAGCCUGAUCCAGCAAUGCCGCGUGAGUGAAGAAGGCCUUCGGGUUGUAAAGCUCUUUUGUCAGGGAAGAAACGGUGUGGGCUAAUAUCCUGCACUAAUGACGGUACCUGAAGAAUAAGCACCGGCUAACUACGUGCCAGCAGCCGCGGUAAUACGUAGGGUGCAAGCGUUAAUCGGAAUUACUGGGCGUAAAGCGUGCGCAGGCGGUUUUGUAAGUCUGUCGUGAAAUCCCCGGGCUCAACCUGGGAAUUGCGAUGGAGACUGCAAGGCUAGAAUCUGGCAGAGGGGGGUAGAAUUCCACGUGUAGCAGUGAAAUGCGUAGAGAUGUGGAGGAACACCGAUGGCGAAGGCAGCCCCCUGGGUCAAGAUUGACGCUCAUGCACGAAAGCGUGGGGAGCAAACAGGAUUAGAUACCCUGGUAGUCCACGCCCUAAACGAUGUCUACUAGUUGUCGGGUUUUAAUUAACUUGGUAACGCAGCUAACGCGUGAAGUAGACCGCCUGGGGAUACGGUCGCAAGNUUAAAACNCAAAGGAAUUGACGG
This 584-nucleotide ribosomal RNA is filed under the name uncultured bacterium. Its description in RNAcentral is "bacterial SSU rRNA". It matches the Rfam family "Bacterial small subunit ribosomal RNA", at positions 338 to 916 of the family's 1533-position model. The record is from RNAcentral.